This 382-nucleotide ribosomal RNA is filed under the name uncultured bacterium. Its description in RNAcentral is "bacterial SSU rRNA". It matches the Rfam family "Bacterial small subunit ribosomal RNA", at positions 29 to 410 of the family's 1533-position model. The record is from RNAcentral.
AUUGAACGCUGGCGGCAUGCUUUACACAUGCAAGUCGAGCGGCAGCGCGGGGGCAACCCUGGCGGCGAGCGGCGAACGGGUGAGUAACGCAUCGGAACGUAUCCUGUAGUGGGGAAUAACUCAUCGAAAGGUGAGCUAAUACCGCAUAAGCUCUGAGGAGGAAAGCGGGGGGACCGAAAGGCCUCGCGCUGCAGGAGCGGCCGAUGUCCGAUUAGCUAGUUGGUGAGGUAAAGGCUCACCAAGGCGACGAUCGGUAGCUGGUCUGAGAGGAUGAUCAGCCACACUGGGACUGAGACACGGCCCAGACUCCUACGGGAGGCAGCAGUGGGGAAUUUUGGACAAUGGGGGGAAACCCUGAUCCAGCCAUGCCGCGUGAGUGAAG